GGAUUAGAUACCCUGGUAGUCCACGCCGUAAACGGUGGGCGCUAGGUGUGGGGGCCAUUCCACGGUCUCUGUGCCGCAGCUAACGCAUUAAGCGCCCCGCCUGGGGAGUACGGCCGCAAGGCUAAAACUCAAAGGAAUUGACGGGGGCCCGCACAAGCGGCGGAGCAUGUGGAUUAAUUCGAUGCAACGCGAAGAACCUUACCUGGGUUUGACAUGCACCAGACGCAUCCAGAGAUGGGUGUUCCCUUGUGGUUGGUGUGCAGGUGGUGCAUGGCUGUCGUCAGCUCGUGCCG
This 293-nucleotide ribosomal RNA is filed under the name uncultured bacterium. RNAcentral's name for it is "partial 16S ribosomal RNA". It matches the Rfam family "Bacterial small subunit ribosomal RNA", at positions 775 to 1067 of the family's 1533-position model. The record is from RNAcentral.